GCAAGUGCGGGAGUGGGGAGCUCGUCCACGGCGUCUCGGCUAGGCGGCCCCGGGGCGGGGACGGGCUCUCGCUUACGCUCUCUGCGCCGACGGAGUCUUUUUCUCUCCCGGCGUGAGGGAGGCGAACACUUGGAGGGACGUGCUGGCGCCGCAGCCCUGGUCUCCCCUCAGCGUCCAGGGAGGAGCCCUUCCUGCCGGCGUGGAAACCAUGGUGCUCACGCUCGGAGAAAGUUGGCCAGUAUUGGUGGGGAAAAGAUUCCUCAGCCUGUCCGCGGCAGAGGGCAGCGACGGCGCCCACGACAGCUGGGACGUGGAGCGCGUCGCCGAGUGGCCCUGGCUCUCCGGGACCAUUCGAGCUGUUUCCCAUACUGAGGUUACCAAGAAAGAUCUGAAGGUGUGUGUGGAGUUUGAUGGGGAGUCUUGGAGGAAGAGAAGAUGGAUAGAGGUCUACAGCCUUCUAAGGAGAGCAUUUUUAGUAGAGCAUAACUUGGUUCUGGCUGAACGAAAGUCACCUGAAGUUUCUGAACGAGUUAUUCAGUGGCCUGCCAUAAUGUACAAAUCUCUAUUGGACAAAGCUGGCUUGGGAUCUAUAACUUCUGUUCGGUUUCUAGGAGAUCAACAAAGCAUAUUUCUUUCCAAAGACCUUUUGAAGCCUAUACAGGAUGUAAACAGUCUUCGACUUUCCCUUACUGAUAAUCAGGUAGUCAGUAAAGAAUUUCAAGCUUUGAUUGUAAAACAUUUGGAUGAAAGCCAUCUUUUACAAGGAGACAAGAACCUCGUUGGUUCAGAAGUAAAAAUUUAUAGCUUGGAUCCAUCUACCCAGUGGUUUUCAGCAACUGUUAUAAAUGGAAACCCAACAUCAAAAACUCUUCAGGUCAACUGUGAGGAGAUUCCAGCACUGAAAAUUGUUGAUCCGGCACUGAUUCAUGUUGAAGUUGUACAUGAAAACUUUGUGAGUUGUGGUAAUUCUACAAGAAUCGGAGCUGUAAAACGCAAGUCUUCUGAGAAUAAUGGAAAUCUAGUUUCUAAACAAGCAAAAUCUUGCACUGAGGCCUCUCCCAGUGUGUGUCCUGUACAGUCUGUUCCCACAACAGUUUUUAAGGAGAUUCUACUUGGCUGUACUGCAGCAACUCCAUCUAGUAAAGAUCCAAGACAGCAAAGUACUCCCCAGGCUGCCAACUCUCCACCUAAUCUUGGAGCGAAAAUUCCUCAAGGAUGUCAUAAGCAGAGUUUACCGGAAGAACUUUCUUCCUGUCUAAACACAAAGCCUGAAAUACUGAGAACAAAACCAGAUGUCUGCAAAGCAGGAUUGCUUUCUUCAAAAUCUCAGGUUGGAACUGGAGACUUGAAAAUUCUGAGUGAGCCCAAAGGUAGCUGUAUCCAGCCUAAAACAAAUACUGAUCCAGAAAACAGAUUGGAGUCUGUUCCACAACCAGUGACUGGCCUUCCCAAGGAGUGCUUACCUGCAAAGGCUUCUUCUAAGGCAGAAUUGGAAAUUGCCAGUACUCCUGAACUGCAGAAGCAUCUAGAACAUGCAGCUUCCACAUCUGAUGACCUUUCAAAUAAACCAGAAGUGAAAUCAGAUAUCAAUAGCCUUAAUAGUUGUGUAGAAAAAAAAGUAGAACCUUCAAGUUUAGGUUACCAAUUGCAGAAUUCCAAGGAAACAUCAGUAAAAGUAGAUAAUGAAAGCUGUUGUACAAGAAGCAGCAAUAAAACCCAGAAUCCCCCAGCCAGGAAGUCAGUUUUGACAGACCCAGAUAAACUCAAGAAGCUGCAGCAGAGUGGAGAGGCCUUUGUUCAGGAUGACUCCUGUGUGAACAUUGUGGCACAGCUACCCAAGUGCCGGGAAUGUCGCUUAGACAGUCUGCGCAAGGACAAGGAGCAGCAGAAGGACUCCCCUGUGUUCUGUCGCUUCUUUCACUUCAGGAGGUUACAAUUCAACAAACAUGGUGUGUUGCGGGUAGAAGGCUUCUUAACACCAAACAAGUAUGACAGUGAAGCAAUUGGCUUGUGGCUCCCUUUGACCAAAAAUGUUGUGGGGACUGAUUUGGACACAGCAAAAUAUAUCCUGGCCAACAUUGGAGACCACUUUUGUCAAAUGGUGAUUUCUGAAAAGGAAGCUAUGUCAACUAUUGAGCCACACAGACAGGUUGCUUGGAAGCGGGCUGUCAAAGGUGUUCGAGAAAUGUGUGAUGUGUGUGACACCACCAUCUUCAACCUACACUGGGUGUGCCCUCGGUGUGGGUUUGGAGUGUGUGUAGAUUGCUACAGGAUGAAGAGGAAAAAUUGCCAACAGGGUGCUGCCUACAAGACUUUCAAUUGGCUAAGGUGUGUGAAGAGUCAGAUUCAUGAGCCUGAGAACCUGAUGCCCACACAGAUCAUUCCUGGCAAAGCCCUCUAUGAUGUUGGAGACAUUGUGCACUCUAUAAGAGCAAAGUGGGGAAUAAAAGCAAAUUGUCCCUGCUCGAAUAGGCAGUUCAAGCUCUUUUCAAAGCCUGCCUCAAAGGAAGACCUGAAACAGACAUCCUUAACUGGAGAAAAACCAACUCUUGGGACCAUGCUCCAGCAGAGUACCCCCUCUGUACUGGAGACAGCCACUGUGGGUGGGGAAGCAGUCUCCAAGCCAACCAGCAGCAUGAAGCCUGCCUGUCCAGCCAGCACUUCACCUUUAAACUGGCUGGCGGACCUCACUACAGGGAAUGUCAACAAGGAGAACAAGGAAAAACAACCAACAAUGCCAAUUUUAAAGAACGAAAUCAAAUGCCUUCCACCCCUCCCUCCUCUGAGCAAAUCCAGCACAGUCCUCCACACCUUUAACAGUACAAUUUUGACACCUGUAAGCAACAAUAAUUCUGGUUUUCUUCGAAAUCUCCUGAAUUCCUCCACAGGAAAGACAGAAAAUGGACUCAAGAACACACCCAAAAUCCUUGAUGACAUCUUUGCCUCUUUGGUACAAAACAAGACUUCCUCUGAUUUAUCUAAGAGACCUCAAGGACUGACGAUCAAGCCCAGCAUUCUUGGCUUUGACACUCCUCACUACUGGCUGUGUGAUAACCGCCUGCUGUGCUUGCAAGAUCCCAACAACAAGAGCAAUUGGAAUGUGUUUAGGGAAUGCUGGAAACAAGGACAGCCAGUGAUGGUAUCUGGAGUGCAUCAUAAGUUGAACACUGAACUUUGGAAGCCUGAAUCCUUCAGGAAGGAGUUUGGUGAACAGGAAGUGGACCUAGUUAAUUGUAGGACCAAUGAAAUUAUAACAGGAGCCACAGUAGGAGACUUCUGGGAUGGAUUUGAAGAUGUUCCCAAUCGUUUAAAAAAUGAAAAAGAAAAAGAACCAAUGGUGUUGAAACUUAAGGACUGGCCCCCGGGAGAGGAUUUUAGAGAUAUGAUGCCUUCCAGAUUUGAUGAUCUGAUGGCCAACAUUCCACUACCUGAGUACACAAGGCGAGAUGGUAAACUGAACUUGGCCUCUAGACUGCCAAACUACUUUGUUCGGCCAGACCUGGGCCCCAAGAUGUACAAUGCUUAUGGACUAAUCACUCCGGAAGAUCGGAAAUAUGGAACAACAAAUCUUCACUUAGAUGUAUCUGAUGCUGCUAAUGUCAUGGUUUAUGUGGGAAUUCCCAAAGGGCAGUGUGAGCAGGAAGAAGAAGUCCUUAGAACCAUCCAAGAUGGAGAUUCUGAUGAACUCACAAUAAAGCGGUUUAUUGAGGGAAAAGAGAAGCCGGGAGCCCUCUGGCACAUAUAUGCAGCUAAGGACACGGAGAAGAUAAGAGAAUUUCUUAAAAAGGUAUCAGAAGAGCAGGGUCAAGAAAAUCCUGCAGACCACGAUCCUAUUCAUGAUCAGAGCUGGUAUUUAGACCGAUCACUAAGAAAGCGCCUUUAUCAAGAGUAUGGUGUUCAAGGCUGGGCUAUUGUACAAUUUCUUGGGGAUGUGGUGUUUAUCCCAGCAGGAGCUCCACAUCAGGUUCAUAACUUAUACAGCUGUAUCAAAGUGGCUGAAGACUUUGUGUCUCCAGAGCAUGUUAAACACUGCUUCUGGCUUACUCAGGAAUUCCGUUACCUGUCACAGACUCACACCAACCAUGAAGAUAAAUUACAGGUGAAGAAUGUUAUCUACCAUGCAGUGAAGGAUGCAGUUGCUAUGCUAAAAGCCAGUGAAUCUAGUUUUGGCAAACCUUAAUCCCUUCCUGCACAUUGGAGAUGAUUUAUUGGCAGCUGAUCAAACUCUUCAGGCAGGAUUCCUGUGGACUUUGAGAUUUCAUGUUACCUCAUCUUCUUUUUUUAAAACUAUACCCGACUUGUGAGGGUACUCUGUCUAAUGUAUAUUUCUAGUGUUUACAGACACUAAAUGUGUAUAUGUAGUAACUAUUUACAGACCACGCAUCCUUAUACUGUGACUUCUCACCUAAUGCAGAUCUUUUAUCAAGCUGUAAAAUAAGACCUCUUAUCAGCUGAAACAGUACCUAUAGUUAUUCCCAGCUGUUUGUUUGGGCAGCUUAUUCAAAUGGGUUUAUAACUAUUAGGAAUCACUGCACAGUUUAAUUGGAUUUUAUUUUAUGUCUGUCUGAGCACCCUCCCCCACCCAUUAGGGUCCACAAGAGCACCGGAGGGAGUGACAGCUAAUGAUGCAAGUUCUAAAUGUAUCGCAUAGGACUGGCAUUACAUAGCAGAAAUCGACUACUGGACAAUUCUUGGGGUUAACCAUCUUUAGUUGUGGACUUUUAAUUUAAAUGAAGCUUUGCUAAUUUUAAGUGAUUGGCCCUUAAAGAGCAACUAUCACUAAAUUAAAAUGAGGAAAAUAGGGCCAAUGUGAUGGCUCAGCAGGUAAAGGUGCUUCCUGCCAAACUGACAGACCAAGUUCUACUCCUGGGACCCACAUGGUGGAAAGAGAGAACCGGCUUCCAAUUUCCACAAGUUGUUAAUCUCCAUAUUCACCAUGGCACUUACAUGUCCCACCAAAACAAAUCCUGAGGGGAUGUCAGAGGAGCCAGUACUUCUGUUGUUUGAGCACCUGGGACAGAGAGACACAUUGCAGAUCUGAACUAUCUGGCUCACUUUGUUUCCAGUGAUGCCCACCAUAUGAGAGAUCGUAUUCAUGUCUGUGCCCACACUCCUGUACCUGGCUCAUGUGUUCUACGUGCUGAGAAAGGGGAAGAAACUGAACAUGAAAGAGGAGCUCAAAGUGGCCCAGACGGAUGGUGU
Nannospalax galili (Upper Galilee mountains blind mole rat) is the source of this 5202-nucleotide RNA transcript. It is a transcript of the gene named lysine demethylase 3A, with no coding region annotated. The record is from RefSeq and is a predicted model, not a curated record. The transcript is spliced from 29 exons. Lineage: Eukaryota; Metazoa; Chordata; Mammalia; Rodentia; Spalacidae.